UACGGAGGGCGCAAUCGUUGUUCGGAAUCACUGGGCGUAAAGCGCGUGUAGGCGGCUCUGCAAGUCGGGUGUGAAAUCCCGAGGCUCAACCUCGGAACUGCACUCGAUACUGCUUGGCUCGAGUCCCGGAGAGGGUGGCGGAAUUCCCGGUGUAGGGGUGAAAUCCGUAGAUAUCGGGAGGAACACCAGUGGCGAAGGCGGCCACCUGGACGGUGACUGACGCUGAGACGCGAAAGCGUGGGGAGAAAACAGG
This 253-nucleotide ribosomal RNA is filed under the name uncultured bacterium. RNAcentral describes it as "partial 16S ribosomal RNA". It matches the Rfam family "Bacterial small subunit ribosomal RNA", at positions 524 to 776 of the family's 1533-position model. The record is from RNAcentral.